RNAcentral lists this long non-coding RNA (6426 nucleotides) under Homo sapiens (human). Its description in RNAcentral is "HSALNT0289593". Lineage: Eukaryota; Metazoa; Chordata; Mammalia; Primates; Hominidae. The record is from RNAcentral.
UCGUGCCACUGCACUCCACCCUGGGCAACAGAGUGAGACUCCAUCUAAAAAAAAAAAAGAUACACAUUAAGUUUUUCACACAAAUUCUUAAGGGCAGAUAUUACUAAAUGCCAUUAGAAAAAAAGGAAACCUUUUAUCAAGCAUUUUUUAAAAAUGCUUCUACAUUUCUUAUUUAUAGGUAUUCUAAUAAUACUGCGUGACAUUACGGACAACUUAGCCUAAAUUAUGGAAAAUCAAAUUAUUUAGUAGAACUGCAAGACAAUCCUCUCAGUUGUUGUACAGAAGGUAAGCAUGAGCAAAUUACUUUUUAGAGGUAACUUUGCUGAACUUGUGAAGAAUGGUGUGCAAGGUCCAGAGCGACUGCAGGAGAGGGAAGGUGGGAUUCCCACAGAGCAGGAGCACAGAUAAGCCAAGCAAGGCCCUGCUUGGAAGGCAGCAAUCAACAGAGAUGCACAGACCUGUGAGGGUGCCGGGACAGCCAUGCAACAAUGCAGCCCUUUUGCUUCCUGAGCUCACCAGUUCCCUCGCUCCACCUCUGAGAGGUGGUUUGGAGAAACACAGCCCUUCUCAAGAGGGCUGCAAGGUAAGUUUAGUUGGUACAUGAGUGCACAGCACAUUUUAAUUUUUAUAGUUAUGCAUUUAUUUUAUAUGUACUAGACAAACGACCGACAGAAAAUUUACCAUUUCACAGGUAUUAGUGUUUAGGAUGAGGCUAAAGUAGGUAUUUCUGUUUAAAAAAGUAAAUUUGAAGAAAAGCUACCCAGCAAAUUAUAGUAGUAUGUGGUACACAGACAAAAAAAAAAUUAUGCAGUCGUCCAAAUGACUGAAACUGAUAAAAUGCUGGUCCUGGUCUAUGGAUUCCCCCUCUGACAAAGCACAGAAUACUCGCACCUUCUCCAGAGUCAGUGACCAAAGAUGAGAGAGCAGGGCACCCAGCACAGAAACCACCAGGAGCCAAUGACUUCCUCCUGUGCUCCAUCCUACUCUCUCACUCACACCAGGAAUUAAAUCCUUUUAUGUAGACAGAUGGUCAAGAAUUGCUACUAUAAAGCAACUCAGUAUGGUCUGAACUAUCAGAGAGCUACAUGGAGAAAUAGCUACUGCUAAACAGACCUCUCUGCUGAUGUUUUUCCCAGCUACUUAAGUCCUGAAAAUUUCCACAAGGCUGAGUCAAAUCUGCGUUUCAUCAUCUAUAAGAAAGGUACCUAUCGAGAACACCCUGCUGGCCAGUGUGUAAAUAUCUAAAGGAGGACUCAGAAAACACCGGGGAAGUCCAGCCUGCACGUGGUGGCUGGGCUUCAGUGAAGCAUGCAGCACAACAGGAGUUGUAAGUAGUAGUUACAUCAGCAGCCCUGGAAAUUCUGCUCAGAACCAAACUGAACAAAUAACAUUAUCUAAGGCUUACAAUUAUUUAACUCCCUAAAUUUUCUGUCCUCCCAGUAGCACUUUCAAAUGCCUAAAAGCAAUUAAAAGAAACAUUUUUCCAAUGUCUCACAGAACCAUUAGAAACACAAAAUUAAUAGCUUCAUAAACUAUAGCUUCUAUUUUAUCCAUAAUAGAAUGAAGGUGCAUAAACCACAUAGUAAUUAAUCUUUGGACAAAAGCAAACAAUAAAUGGAAUAUAUGGCUAAGAUCCUUUCUUUUUGAGUGUGGCCCAAGAUAAAAAUUUCUUCCAAAAGGGUAACAUUAAUGCAAUAAGGCUUUUGUGGAAUUCUAUUUUGUACGAAAUUCCUGUUUUCUAUUAGCUACUUCUUCCUCUGUGACACAAGCCUCAUUCCUUGUGAAAAACACGAAGCAGAAAACAUUCGUGAAAUCAUCAGGUAAAGAUCCCAUGACCGUUCUAUCACUGACACAGUAUGUAGGUACAUGGUACAACCCCCAAGGGACCACCUUGUGGCAUCCUCAGCAACCACAGAGCCACAGGGCAGAUGAGUGUUUGCUCCCACUGAGGCUCUGCAACCUCUGCCACCAAUACUGGAGAAAUCCUCCAACCUCACUGUUUUCUCCUGAACUUGUUCCCUUCUGUUUUUCGAUUAAUACACAGCAAACAGGCACACCUUCAAGCUGCCAAAAGCAUCUUAAACGUUGUACACUUACAAUCUUCAAAAUAUAGUUGUUCAAAAGAGUCAUCAAAGUAGUUUUUGAAAUAGAACACUUACUUUGACCACAUAAUUGAACCUUCGGAUAUCUUGAAUUGCACUUGAGAAGUCUAACCGAUUAAAGGCUUCUCCCAAGGUGCAAUAGCCAUGCCUCUGGAAGAGCAACACAGAAUUUAAAAUUAGUCAAUUAGCCAAAAAGAAUUGGCAGUUAAUGUCAAUUAAUUGUGCGAUUAAAAAAAUUUUUGGCAAAGGACAAUUUGUUUUUAUUUUGAAGACUGAUUUUAGAUUUAGAUGAGAGUAUAGUAAAAUUGUAGCAAUGCUAAUAAUUUAAGCUGUUUAUGUAUACCUGAGACACCAUUAACUGACAUUUUUUACAACCUGCUGAAGUAAUGACAAAGACAAAUAUUUAUUAAAUAUCUUGCUGGUUUGUUUUGUUGGGGACAAACUGGGGUGUGGACGAUGUUAAAGCUAAGAUCAUAAAAAAACUGGAUUCAUUCUAGGCUACGCAACUAAAAAUACAUAAAUCAUCUGAUUAACUGCAUUGUAAGGAUGUAGGUGUUACAAAUAUCUAGUUGAAACACAGGAUUUCUCUGCAGGGGAGGCAUGCACUGCCCGAGUUUGAAGUGUAACAUGGGAUUUCUCUCCAGAGCAGCCAUGCACUGCCCAGGCUGGAAGUAUGCUCAACCACAAGGGUCAGGGCUGGGAGAGGCGCUUCGGUAGCAAGAAGGUGCCUCUGAAAACCAGCAUUGGGAUGGAGAGGGCUGAAGGCAAGUGCUGGAUGUGACCACGGGCAGCUUUCAGGCUGGGAGCACGGAUGCCAAGAACCCAAAACACCAAAAAAACUGGUGCUUAGACCCACAGGUCCAAGAACCGAAGGAAGAAAAUGAAACAAUUUAUUUUCAGUACUGUAAACACUGCUGCUAUUCUCUUAGAUGUUUUUCUUCCAUGAUAUACCCUUAUCCUGUAUUGGUUUGUAUAGAUUAGCACAUUAGGUUUCAGAAGUCAUUUUAAACUCCAUCUUCAUCCUCCAUAUUUGAAAUAUUUAAAAUCUACAGAUUUUCAGGUCAAAGUUGUAGAGAUAAGUAAGCUAGAAAACAAUAAUAGAAAACAUGAGACGAUUGGUCUCAAAUUCCAAACAGGUGACUUGAGAUGUCCUAGAGAAAGCAGCUGGAGCCAUAGCACCUUUGUCUCUAACAGCCGAUACACUCAGAGGCUCAUGUGCUUCUGUGCGCCAACCCCAAUCGCCCUGACGGGUGCACAACUCAACUAAAUAUACUCAUUUAAAACAUCCAAAUAUGUUGACUGAGUGCCUGCUAUGUGGAAAACAUUUUCCUGGGAACUCUGGGGAAAGGAAACACUCAUUUUGAUAUAGAUUAUAAUCUGAAAUCCAUCACAGCUGAUAUUCCACACGAUGGUGUAGCAGACACUUUCCAAGGUCACCACCCAUCUCACAAAAGGAAAUUAAAUCUGAUUCACAGAGCAGACCACAAAGAGCAUGUCUGGACCUAGAACCACAGCAUGUAACCUCGGAAGCAGUGAGACACCAGCCAGCAUGGACAAGCAGCAGGCACUUGCUCUAUACCAGGUGAGGGUGUGGAGACAUGACGUGGUGCAGGGACACCAGCACCCAGUCCUAGUUCUGGUCCCUCUCAGCCUUGUUAGGUCCUGGUUCCUAAGAUUCCAGGGAACAUCCCCACAGCCUCACAAUAAGAUCCUCCUUUCCUGCAUAUGCUAGCUUGGAUGGGAUCCUCUGUUCUGUAAUCAGUAUGGCAACAGAGCAGAUGAAAUAUUUAAUGGUCUUUCAUGAGCACUAAAUUUUGUUUUUUACAAACUAGGUUAGAUUCUGUCAAAUAAUCGUCUAAUGGUGUAUUCGAGUGUAUAUUAAGGAUCUGAUUCAUUCUAUACCCACUAACCAUAACCAAACAGAUUAAGUUUUCUUUCUCAGAAUCUAAUCCUUCAGUUUCUUGGAAGCUGGACUAGUUUCAGAGCAUCUACAAACAUUUCUGGAAUAUUUAACUUACCCUGAAAUAACAGACGAUAGACAGUAAUUCCCUAAAUUAUUUUCCCCAGUUGUUGCAAAAUAAAGCAAAUGCAGAGUUUCUAGGACUAUAAAAGGAACUCAACUUCCCGGAUCCUAGUAAAGAAACAGGAAACAGCUUGAAGCUCUCUGGUUUGUUUUAUGGCUCAUGAAAAAGCUUUAGCCCAACUUGGCAAAAGAAAGGCAGGGAAAGAGUUCAUAUGGCUCUGCACAAACCCAACCCAAUUACUAAUUUCAUGUUAGCCACUCUUUAUGUGGAAUGAGAGGGCUCACAGAUGCCCUGCCCUCCAAAACACGCCACAGGGAGGACACAUUCCCAUCAGCAUCAGGGGUUCAUGCUAACACAGAGAAAAUGCGUAUGACUGCAGGAGUCCAUGCUUGGUUUAAAUAGCCCUGCUGUUGACUCAGAUAUGUACAGGUAGGCAGGAACCACACACUGUACACAUAUACCACAUGCCACCACACACCAUACAUCCCACAGACCAAUGUGUGCAUAAAUACAUGCACAACCAUACAUACACACCAUACAUACAACACACAUACACCAUACACACAACACACACCAAUGUGUGCACAAAUACACAGCCACAUACCACAUGCACAUGCAAGCACACACAAUGGAGAAUCACUGCCUCAAAAGCUCCUCAUAUGCUAUUAUCUGUCAGAAUGUGAACCAUAGAUCUGAUAUUGCAAAAGAAAUGUGUUUUAUGCAACUUUAUUAAUACAUUUAUUUAAUGUGACUCCAUAUUCAACAGAAACAAUCCAAGAUACUCUCUUAUUUAUAAUAGAAUACUUACUUCUUUUGUGCUUUCUUUAUGGACAUAGAUCCAUUUUUCAUGAUAAAAACCUAGAAUAAAAAUUACCUUUGUUUUUAAAAUCUGGCAAAUCAUUUCAAAAUGAAGAUUUUAAAGGAAUUUAAAUAAUUGGACAUAUUAACAAAAUUAUCUGACUUACUAUAUUGACAAGAAAUGCUUUUACUUGGUUGAAUGCAAACAGAAUUGCUUUGUUUCUUAAAUCAGUUUAAGAUAUGAACAAUGAUUUCAGACAGUACCAAGUCCUAGUAACUUAGAAGAAAAUUAGUAUUAUUAAUGACUGAAGCCAUAUGAAGACAUAAAUGAUUAUAAAAUGCAAUUACAUUACUACAUUCCUAUGUACCCUAAUAAAAAGUUCUAUUCUUCUGUUGCUGUGUAUAGUACUCCAUAGAAACAAAUUUUUCAGAUAAAUCUUAAAAGUUUCAAGAAUCACACUAACUGUAUUCUCCAUGUGACCCUAUCUUCUUCAUAAAGUAGUCCCCCCGUAUUCACAGUUUCAUCUUCUACAGUUUCAAUUACCCACAGUCAGCUUUGGUUUGAAAACAUUAAGUGGAAAAUUCCAGAAAUAAACCAUUCAUAAGUUUUAAAUUGUGUGCCAUUCUGGGUGGUGUCAUGAAAUCUCACACCGUCCUGCUCUGUCCUGCCUGGGAUGCAAAUCCUCCCUUUGUCAAGCGAGUCCUACACUACCCGCCCCUUGGUCACUCAGUAGCCGUCUUGGUUAUCGGAUCACCUGUUGAGAUAUCACAGUGCUUGUGUUUAAAGAACCCUUAUUGCACUUCAUAAUAGCCCCAAAGUGCAAGAGCAGUGAUGGUGGCCAUCUUGCUAUAACUGUUUCAUUUUAUUAUUAUUCUCGUUAAUCUCUUACUGCACCUAAUUUAUAAAUUAAACUUUAUUAUAAGUGUGUAUAUACAGAAAAAAAAACAUAGUAUCCAUAAGGUUUGGUAGUAUCCACAGUUUCAGGCAUCCACUGGAGGUCUAUCCCCUGAGGUAAGGAAGCCUACUAUACAUUAACAUGUGUCUUGGUAACUCACAGAUAUGCUGCAUGAUAGAACGCUAUGCCCUCUCACAGAUAGGUCCCACCUCCAGCCUUCCCCUGCUGCCAUCUAACAUCCUAAACUCCAGCUCUGAAUGUCUGUCUCCUGCUCUGAAUCUUCAGUGACUUCGAAACUCAAGUCAGGACACCUCUCAGUUUGGCCUCACUGCUCAAGAUUGAGCUGAAUUCAUGACCAUAAUUCAAGCAUUCAGAUUCAUGGGCUGUUUUGUGGGUUUUGCUAUCUCUUAUUUUGUUUUUGCACAUCUUACCCACUGAAACGUUGGGCUGCAAAAAGUUUGAUCACUAAAUAUGUAGGCAAUGCUGGAUACUGGGCUGUUAUUUACAUAUUUGUAUCACCUUUUAUUUCAUAAGAUAGCAUUGUCAGAGUAAUUUAGUAUUUCAACAUAAUCAACAAGUAAAAUAAAAUUAAUGAGAAUGAUCUUA